RNAcentral lists this ribosomal RNA (440 nucleotides) under uncultured bacterium. Its description in RNAcentral is "partial 16S ribosomal RNA". It matches the Rfam family "Bacterial small subunit ribosomal RNA", at positions 338 to 795 of the family's 1533-position model. The record is from RNAcentral.
CCUACGGGUGGCAGCAGUGGGGGAUAUUGCACAAUGGGGGAAACCCUGAUGCAGCGACGCCGCGUGUGGGAAGACGGUCUUCUGGAUUGUAAACCACUGUCCCCAGGGACGAAAAUGACGGUACCUGGGGAGGAAGCUCCGGCUAACUACGUGCCAGCAGCCGCGGUAAUACGUAGGGAGCAAGCGUUGUCCGGAAUUACUGGGUGUAAAGGGAGCGUAGGCGGGGAUGCAAGUUGGGUGUCAAAACUACCGGCUCAACCGAUAGUCGCACUCAAAACUGCAACUCUUGAGUGAAGUAGAGGCAGGCGGAAGUCCUAGUGUAGCGGUGAAAUGAGUAGAUAUUAGGAGGAACACCAGUGGCGAAGGCGGCCUGCUGGGCUUUUACUGACGCUGAGGCUCGAAAGUGUGGGGAGCAAACAGGAUUAGAUACCCUUGUAGUC